GUAUUUGUGUUUGCCUUAUUGCAGUGGCCCCACCUACCCCUCCAUCCUGUUAAGGAGGCACAGUCCUGAGGAGGAGGGGGGGAGGAUCCCCUCCCUCAGCCACUGACACACAUACUCUCUCUGCCUCACACACACUCACACACUGCUCUCAGCGAGGGAGCAGUCGCUGAAGAGCUUGGGAUAGACCACACGAGGUUCUGCAGGUGUCCCACCCUUCUCCCCUCACACUGAUGCUUCUGAAGCCACUAUCUGGUGCUUGUUGGGGUUAAAGGCUACAAGCUGGUGAGUGGUGACCUGAGCGAGAGGCCUGGCUGACAUCUGACCUCUAACUGGGUGUGCUGCUGACCCUGGAGGAUACAACUCAACAAUGGGAGGCACGUGCCUUGGUCCUGUUGCCAUGGGAACAUAUGACCGCUCAGAAACGGUGGGGGUGCAGGGUCAAAGCUGGGUCUUUUUUCUGAUCUUUGUUAACCAUCUGCUGCCAUUUGACUGGUAGAUGUUACAUGUACCCGUGUGUGUGUGUGUGUGUGUGAGGUGAACCAAUGGGCUGACUGUGUAAUCUCUGCAGGCAACUGUGAUGCUGAGUUAUAUUCUCACAAUCACCUGGAGAGAUUCUGCAGUUUACCUCAGAAAAACCCACUAAAAAAAAACCAAAAUCAAAAUAAAAAAACAUCUUUCUUUAGAUUAUCGGAACUGCCACAUUAAAGGUUUAUUUUAGAAUAUGAAACUUUUUGAACUUGUUAAUUUAUGCCCACUAUUGGUUCCUUCACUGGUAAAUAUUCCCACCUUUAAUUGUUCUUGACCUCUUACAAAACUCAUAAUUACCAGCAGAGUUAACUUCAUAUUGAGAAAUGUUCCUUUGGUAUUUUUUUUUUACCUUCCAUACCCUAUAUUAUUCACUCUCUACACGUCUGAUCAUGCAGCUUGUUUAAAGAACCAAACUGUUUACCUAAGGUUGGCACCAAAAAAAAAA
Long non-coding RNA from Cynoglossus semilaevis (tongue sole), 973 nucleotides. RefSeq lists it as uncharacterized. Lineage: Eukaryota; Metazoa; Chordata; Actinopteri; Pleuronectiformes; Cynoglossidae. The transcript has 2 exons. The record is from RefSeq and is a predicted model, not a curated record.